GUGAAUAUCAAACAGGGAAAUUAGGUUGGCAUUUAACGAAUAAUUUUGAUAAGUAUUCUUAAAAAUGUUAUCUAUAGGGAUACUUCUGGCCAAGAUACUUCUUUAAAAAUCACAAAGUCCUGCAUUGAAAAAAAAAUUUUUUUUUUCCCAGAAGAUUCCUCUUCAUGGUUUCAGGGCUUCAGAAAUGUAGAGGGAAUUUACAUGAUUUGGUGAGUCUGUGGUCUUAACAUCCUCAAUUUCUGCUUACUACUGUGCUUAACCUGUGCUUUAGGGCCUGGAAUUUGGGGAGUUGAGGCUUCAGGCACAGUAAGAAGUUAGAACUGGGGCUCUGGUAGAUGCAGGGGAAGCAUGAUCCGUGAACCUGGUGGAAACAGUCACCAAGGGAUGUUGGAAGCAAUUAAGUGAUGCCCGAUUCAGCUUAUUUUCUUUUUACCUCUACUGAUAGUUAACUGCCAAAAAUAUUUAUGGAGAGUGGACUAGAGAUAUUUUAGAGUCAUGGCAUAUGCACCCGUGAAGUUGACUUUCUAGGUGGAUUGGUUGAUUCCCUUACCCUUAAGCUAUCAACGUGAUAUCGUAGGAAACCAUGGCAGCUCUGUAUUAUGUAUUAAAGAUACUUGAGUCAGUUGAAUAUUUGUUUUAAAAACAUUUAUAUCAUUCUAGUUGUGAAAAUUAGGAGGAAUAACAGAUUUGGAGAUAAGAACAUAGAGUUGUCCUUAGGUCAAGUAGUCUUCAAGCAGAAGCUUCUAGACACUGAGGGACAAUACUCCCUUUGUGCAGAGCUGUCAUUUUGAGAAUGCUGAAAAGUGGAGUGCAUUUGAAGCUCCUAUUUUUCUCCAAAAUAAGAAUGUUAGUUUUAUGUAAAAUACAGUUAAGUUUUCAUUCUGUUUUUAAAAUGUUGCCUCAUUUUGGAGUGUGGGGGAAAAAACAGGAAGAUAUGGUCUGAAGACCACAUAUGACCCAUCUUUCUAAUCAGAGGUCUAAUCUUUAGUUUACACAAAGCAAAGCAUCAGGACCAUUCCAUCUCUGACAAAAGAAGCUUUUCAGAACCUCUCAUUCCCACCCAGGAAGAGGUGUGUAAUGGGAGCUACCCCCACAGGGCAAACACCACUCAUAUCCUCAACAUCACUCUUUCAAGGCAACUUGGUUUUCUGUUCUCAAUUGCAAUUUUCUACUUGUUAUCUUGCCCAGGAGAUGCUGCAACAUUUGAAAAGGAAGCCCAGAUUUGGGGGCAGAGGGGUUAUGGAUCUACUCCAUAAAAGUUGCAUGGAAUUGAAUGGAAUUUAAUAAUUCUUGCUAAAUUUUGUGGAAUCACUAUGUGAUGUUAGGCAAAUUUCUUUACAGAUGGGAGAAGCGAGGGUCAUGAGUAAAGUAAGGAAAUUCUAUACCUUGCAAGAUUUUUUUCAGGAGGAAAAGUGUGCAUACGGAAACACUUUUGAAAGUCAACAUUUCUACUUAAUUGCUCACCCUCUAUAUGGGUAUAGAAUUUCAGAAUGACAUAUAUAGAGAGAUUAAUGUUUUAGUGAUUGCAGGACAUUACUUUAUUAAUAAAGAGUAUGUUCAUAAAAAUAGGCAUCUGUUAUAUAGAGCUGUUCAUUUUAAAGAAUAGCUAUAAACAUUUUUUUCCACCUUGAAUUGGCCUAUGUGCUCUAACGCUUGCCCCCACUCUGUGGCAGAACAUAGAUCACAAGAUUAGCAGGUAACUUAAGGUCUCCAAGUUUCUGCCUUCUGGGUCCUACUUCUUUUAAUACUAAUUACAAUUAUAGUUCCAACAACGAUGCUGAAAAAACUCUGGCUACUCCAAUGAUUCUGAGGGGCAUCAAGCACUCUCUUGGUCACCUCUCACUCAAGACCAUGGCUCCCACACCACUCUGCUCAUCACCUCUGUACUUACCCCUGUUCCUCUAUGCCCCUGUCUUCUUCAAGCCAAGGGUGAACUCUGCCCUCCCUUCAUCCUCCAAGGAGAAUGCUGGGCUGAGGUUAGUCUGUAGUCAUAAUUAUCCCUUUGUUAAUUCUCUUCACAAUAUAAAAAAUAGAAACUCACAGUGCAUAAUGGACUCACUGCCUUUUAAGUUUGCAGACUUUUUCUCCUCUGACACCCACUCUCUACUAAGCCCCAAAUUGGUUAAUAUUCCUGCUUAUGCAGGUUUCCCACAGUAAAGCCAUUGAGACUGUGAGGUAUUUAUGCUCAUGAAUGCAGAAAUAACUAGUUUUUAAAAUAGUAAAUGUUUCCUUUGGUAAUUUUCUUCCAGUUUAUAGACUUUUUGUUUUAUUUAGAACAGAGUCAAAAAGGAAUUACCUGGAUAAUUAUCCUGUCUCUGGUGCCUUUGGUUUUGCAUGUUCCUUAUUAAGUCAAUAAGUUGCAUCCAUUUCAGUGGAGAUAGGUGUCUCAUGGGGAAUUUGGGCUUUGUUCCCUGGGUGUUGAGUAGAGGUGUAUCAAGCAGCUAACCCCACACAGCUGCUGGGCUUGUAAACAGACUUGAAUCUUCUGGAUAUUCAUUUGCAAAAUUUAUCAGCAACCUUUCUAAAUGCUCCCACAUUUCCAUCUAACUAUCCUACUUUUAACAAGUUUAUCCUGAGUUAAAUGGUCAACAAUAUAACAAGCUAUAUACACGCACAUGCAUUGUAGCACACUGAAAAAAUUUAAAUCUGGCACUAAUACACAAAAUGAUCAAAUUUAUCUUGCAUUGAAAAAUAGCUGGAAUUAAAUAAACCCAGACUUUAAAAUGGAUACCUUUAGAGAGAGUUUGCCCCCUCUGUCUGGACUUGUUUUAGUCCUUGUACUGUUUUCUUUUUCCUUGAGCUUUUGUCUAUGGUGCUACUUCUUUGUUCUUUAUAGGCCAUUUUAUUUUAAUCCUUGUUAAAUUUGUAAAAAAAACUUUUUCUAGAUUUUCUGGGACAAACCUGUGUUACUUACAGUACUUUUAUUACUUAUGGUAAUUUAAAAUUAUACAUUAAGAUGCCAUGGUCACAGGACUUCUUAGAAGACUUUGCUCUUAUUGACAGAAUUAGAUCCAGGAAAAAUUUAGAUGUAGUUAUUUCCACAUUUUAUAGACCAGGAAACUGGAAUCCAAGUAGUUAGGGACAAGAAACAGUUUCAUGUACACCACUUACGAUGACACAGCUAACUAGUGGCAGAGGUAGGUCUAGGCUCCAAGUAGCUCUCUUACUCCAUAACCUUUCUGAGAAGACCGAGUGUCCUGGGAGGCUGAGAUAUAGCUCAUGUCCCUUCCUCUGGUUGAUAAUUGCCUUUUGCCCCUGAUGAAGUUAGGGGAUUUGGUCAUAGCAGACACCAUUAUUGAAGGUAAGGUUUUUAAGGGUGAUACUGAGCAAGAGUUUCACCAAAUCUACACCUUUGAUUGUUUGUACUAAUCCGCAGACUAGUCCUGCUUAUUUGUUCCUCCUGUCCCUCAGCUGGCCGGAAGUAAACAAAAUCAGAAAUUCUGGGCAAGUCUAGUUUGUCCCCCAGAAGCAACCUCUGACCUGAUACAAUGACGGUUGUGACUAAAUUAGGGUUCAAAUUAUAGAACAGAGGGACACUACAUACUGCUCAAGAAUGACAUUUUAGUUUCUAUUUUGGAAAUGUGCAAAAGUCAAGUCCCAACAGAAAACACCUGGCAUACCCAAAAUUGUACAAAGGGGAACACAAAAGAUAGUGCAUUUCCCCAGAACUGGGAGCAGCUGAUUUGAUAGCAAAUAUAAGCUUGAAGGGACAAGGAGAGGGUGCAGUUCCCAAAACCCAGAAGCAGAGAGUCAUGUAAAAUCUGAUGCCUUAUAGGGAGAAUGACUUUUAGUUGAAGGACACAGACCAAGAAGACCUUACAAGGAAAGAGCUGGAAGAAUAAAUACGUGCAUUUGCCCUUUCCUCUCUCUGGUCUCCACCUCAACUGGAGGCCAGAGGGAAGACUUUAGAAGGAACCUACUCAGGUAAGCAUCCCAGGGCAGAGACAGGAGGCUGGGUUCUGAUUCUGGAGGAGCAGUCAGGAGAUAAGAGCAAAAACAAUGUCAGGGUAUUGGCUACUUAAAAAAAUAAUGUUCUACAGUUCUGUAGUUAGGUAGGCUGAAAAUAUAUUUCAAGCUGUUGCACUAAUGGCCCCUAAACCUUGGUUGUAGUUUCAUAGGACCAUGGUUCAUGUUUUUCUUCUUUCAAUUCCCUUUUCUAGUACUGUUUUAAAAUGUCCUUAGUCUAGGAUAAGUAUAAAUUAUCCCAGAUUUUAGCGAGGCACAAAAGGAAGGCCUUACAAUGUUGUUGUAUCCCUUUUCCUUUGCCAUCGCUCUGGGUUUAACCAUCAUCUCUUUGGCUGUUAUUUUCCAUUGUUAACAGUUAGUAGGAAUCAGGCCAACAAUCCUAAAGAGCCAGGAAUUCCUGGCCUGGUUGAACAGCCUUUGUCCCUGCUUUGGAGCACCUGAAUCGGCCAUAAGAAUUUAUUGCUAUUUGUAGAUGAAGAAGUAUUUCUACACUGAAUGCAUUUUUAAUGCUGUUUGUUGGAAGAAAGAUAUGAAAGGGGGAGUGACUAAGAAAGGUAUUCUGUCUCUACUGAUGAGAGAGCCAACACUGCUAAUGACACAGAAGAAAACAAGGCCCUUUCAAAACACCCAGACAGUAUAGGAAAUGAAGCAGAACUGUGGUAACACAUGACGAGCAUCCUUAAUAUCCAGUGACUUCACUUACUCUUUCUUUACUGCAAUUCCAGCUAUGGCUCAUCAUGGCCCAGUAAUUCUACCAUUGGAAAGACUUUCCAACUAUCAUUGGAAAGACUGGCAAGACUUGUCUUUGACAAGAUUACAUUUACUCUUCAAGUCCUAACCAUCACUCACUGACUCCCUACCUGCAUCAAGAUUAUGAAUGCCUGGAUGCCAAGGAUUCCAAUUCAAACUUAGAACUUUCUCAUUCAUUGACAUCCCUGCUGCAAUCAGCCACAGUGAGACUCCCAUCAAGAUCUUGGAAGAAAUUAUCACUAAGUGUUGAUUCAAAAUCUGAUCAACUAAUGAUCUGAUCAACAUAGAAGCAGAAAUUACCUUAGUGAAAAGGUGAAAAACCAGGGCAAUUGAUAUGCUAAGGUAUUGUACUCCAGUUUUCUAUGAAUAGUUAAUAUCAGUUUAACCAACUAAAUUUAGUAUGAUGAGUCUUAGGGACUCCAAAGUCUAAAAAUGUCAGUAUCUUCAAGAUUGCCUAGAGCAAAGGGCCCUAUCAACUCAAGAAUUGACAUCUCUGAGGCUGGGUUAUACCUUCCAACACCAGGUUUGCAUAGCUGAGUGACAUUAGCUAUGAAGAUAAUUUGAUUCACUCUUCUGGCUCAGUUGUCAUAUUGUUAAUCAGCCUUAUAAUAAAUUUAUAUUUCCACAUAAAUUUUUACACAAAGACAGAAUGGAUAGCACAGUUGACUUGAUCGCUUCCUUUUAAUUUUAAUCAGUUUAUAAGAAAGAAAAAAAUCUAAUCAGGAUUUUUGUUACUUAAUCAAGUUUUGACCCUAUAGUUUAUAGAAGAAAAUCAACCUUGAAUUGUAUGUUAAUGCUACCUGGUCCAAUUUUCUCUAAGUGUUUGCUCCAAUGUUAUGACAGGUAUUCAUCAUAAACUAUAAAGUAUUGACAUCAUUAUAAACAAAAACUUUGUCAGUAGAAAAUGCUCAGAACUACUAUCGUCUCCUUACAGUGAUGAGGAGGGACAGAUUGAAAGACUAAAGUCAACAAAUUCAGGGUGGCAGACAACAAUGAACUUGGGUCCUUCAAUGCUGGUGAGCCUCUAAAUUAAUCUUGGAGCCACCUGUAUGAGUCAGGGUUGGGUCAGAGAGGCACACUGCUGAGAAUGCUAGAAAAAAGAUUUAUUAUAUAGAAUCAACCUUACACAAGUCUGGGCAUUUGUAAAGAAGUCCAUGUCAGGCUGUCCCCUCCACAUCUGGGGAUGUACCUUAGGUAGCUGUAGGUCAACUGUGCUAGUGGUCAGCAAGGAGAGCUGGUUGUGGAGUGACGAUGAACUGAAAUCCCUAAGAAGAAACUGGAAUUCAUGCCUCUCAGGGCCUCCAAAGGCAAUGACAGGGGUGACCUGCAAGAGAAGCUGGUGCCUGGUACCAUGGAGCCACACAUACACACACCUAGCUAGGACUCUGAAGCUGAAGGAGGGAGUUUCAGUGCCAGCUCACUCUUUUGGCCUGGGAUAGUAUUUGCCAGCUAUCACAGUGCCUGGGGCCAUACCAUGAGCUUAACAGCAUAAAAUGAACAGCUGCAUCUCUACUGCUCCCUCUCAAAUGUGGUGAAAAUUUCUCUUGUGACCAACUCCAGUCCAGAACAGAGAAAGGAAAUCCAGGAAAUGUACCUCUCGCUUAGCUACAUUGGCACAAUACAAAGCCAGCAUUCCCCCUAACACUAAACUGAUCAUCUUACAUGAGAAGCUGUUUCAGUGUUGAAAAAUGCACAGGCAUGUAGUCCACCCAGGUAUAGAUUAGGAGGAUUCUUAUCUACAAGUUCUAAGUACCUGUGACUAUAUGUAAAUUACAGUGUUAAGAGAAAAGUUGAUCAACUCCCACCAUUAGUGGCUAAAAAUAUACUUUUUGUUGGAGGAGUCCAGCAAAACUCAUUAAGUUCAGUAAUAACAAUUUACUAACAUACCCUAGGCCUCAUCGUCCAUGUCUUCCAUAAAUAUUUUGCAUUAAAAGGCAAUAGGUAUUUUUUUAACUUGAGAAUUUAAAAGACUCUUUUAUCUUUUAUGUAAAAUGUUUACUUGUAUUUGAGGACCAAAAAAAUCCCCAUUAACCUGGGAAGCAAGGAUACUCUAUUACAUUUUCUAAUCACCUUGUUUAAACUGCUUUUCACACCACAUAAACAUGCUUUUUUUAAUGCUUGUUUCAAAUGCAACUUAAGUUUUCAGCAAUCAAAUGGUACCAUCCUUGGACUUGUCCAACUUCUGUUUUUCAUAAGCAAGGACUGCUUAUUCUUCAUGAGCCUGAAAAACAAUAUGAGUGUGUUCUGUGAAUUCCUGUGACUUUCAUCAGUGGCACACACACCCAGAACCAAGCCCAGUCCCUUCCAGAGUAAGCAGACCUCAGCCAACUCCUCAUUAGCUUCAAAGGGAUACGGGGAAUUGAGGCAAUUAUGUGCAUUACACAAAGCAGACACAGGUAAUUCAUCUGAAGGACGUGCUUGGGUACUCUCAAUUUUCUGCCUGCCAAGCCUUGCCAGUGAAGGCAGCGCCCUCUACAAAAGAAAAGGAAAGGCUGUGGCCAUAUUACCACUGGCUCCAUAGCUGGGACACACAAUUCUAUCAGAAAACGUUUUCACUUGGUUUAUGACAGUUGAGAGAUUUUCAGGCUUUCCUUCUAUAAAUGGGAAACAAUUAGUCAUUGCACUGCCAAGGAUGGUUUUCCUAUUCAUCUUGGGCCUCUCAGAAGCAAUUUCUGCUUCACUCAUUUUAUUCUUUGUUGGAAACAACUGUGACAAAGUCGAAUACAUUACAUCUGUUUUGCAGCCCUUUUGACCUCCUACAGCUGAGUACAAAUGUAGCCUGUGUGAGGCAUUUCCCCAAACAAAACUAUUAUGUGCAGUUGAGGGGCAGGCAUAUUGGUUUAUAUGCACCCCAAACCAAUGCCAUGACCCUCUCAAAUUGUGGCCAGAGUUCAAACCACUCAAGUGGACCUUUGCACAUAGGCCUUAUCCCUAAGACAACUAUUCAAGCAUCAAUAAGAAAUUUCUGGAGUGUGCCAAUGACCCAUGCUUCUCAUAUUUAGAUCUAAACCUAUUCAGUACAACCAACUUUUAGAUUCUCCUUCAAAAGAGAUUAUUUUGACCUCCUUCCAGGUAGUAUUUAUUAUGGACAACCCUAUUUACUUAUCCUGCAGAGUUAUUAGUAAUUCAUUUAUAAGAAGACCAGGCAGGUACCAAAUUUUUAAAAAUGAAAUGGUGGCUCUCUGUGCUAGAGACUGCUAAGUGUUUUAUAGGCAUUCCAUAAAGGACAGCUAAUGUCUUAUCUAAUGUUCUUUAGUUCAUUUCUCCUAAAGCUAGACCUUAUUUAAACACCCUGUGUUCCUGGAAAAUCUAAUAAGAAAGCUGAGCUUCCUAUGGUCUCAAUGUUAGUAUAACCCCAAAAUUCAUAUGUUGAAAUCUCAAUCCCCAUAGUGAUGGUGUUAGGAGGUGGGGCUUUAAGUAUGAGGGUGGAGUUCUCAUGAAUGGAAUCAGUGCCUUAUAAAAAAAAAUCCCCAGAGAGCUCCCCCCCCCAACCCCCACUCUUUCACUAUGUGAGGACACAUUGAGAAAAGGGCUAUGAGGAAGUGGCCCUCACCAGAUAUGGAAUCUGCCAGCACCAUGAUCCUGGACCUCCCAGCCUAAAGAACUGUGAGAAAUGUUUGUUGUUUAUAAGCCACCCAGGUUCUGGCAUUCUAUUAUAGUAACCUGAACACACCUGGACAAGCCCACUGUUCAAUGGUCUUUGUCAUGCUGCCACUUUGCUGGUAAAGUUAGGGUAGUGCCCGUACCAUGGGAUCAAAAUAGUAGUGUCAUAACCCACAGAUAUGGAAAUAUCCUUUCUCCUUGCUUUAGGACAGAACCAGGAGUAAAGCUAGAAAAGACAAGUGCAUUUAUUCUCCACUGUCUCAACUUUAAACCUCACCCCCCAGGUCUCCAUACUGAUUCAGUAUAAAGUCAUGUACUUGUCUACCUAGAAAGACUUCUCUUGGAGUUUCAAGCAUACCCAUCUUUCAAACUUUUUAAAUUAUCUUUGUUCUCUGGACUUCUGACUGUUCUAUAAAAGUGAAUCUAGGACCUGGAAUUCAAAGUCUACAAGUUCACCUGGAAUUAAGAAUUUGAGAAGUAUAAAUACAAUGUGCAUUCCACCCAAAUGCUUAGCACUUCAUAUUACCUGGACAAGGAGAAUUUAGUAAAUAGGGAAGACUUUAAAGGGAAGGGGAUGGGAAACAAAGAGAUUUCUUGUUCUACUCGUUGUAUGACAUGAACCCUAAACACACACACUUUAAGAAUUAGAGUUGAAUAUCUGACAUACCUUUUUUGUAAACUCUUUUGCUUUCAACUUGAGUUUAUUGACUUGAGAUUCUGCUAUCUCUGCCCUUUCCUUAGCUUCGUUCAACUCGUGUUGCUGCUUCUUAUACUUGGAAAAAUAUUGAUUGGCUUGUGCUUCCUAUAAAAAUAAAAAAAAAUGAAAAAAAUAUCCCUGUGCUUACAUAGUCAUUUUCUCUGCUUUGACAUGAGAAAGUUGAAAAAUGUGUGAAAGGAAUAUAAACUUCUGAGUGUUGAAUGGAAUAUAUUUUGGUAUGAUAUGAUAUAUAAGGAUUCAGACUUUCUAGCAGGCAUGAUAUCCAUUUUUAUAAGCAUUGUUUUCUAGAAAUUUAGAACCUGCUCAGCACGUUCCACUAAUUGGAUGUAGUAUGGUUUUCACGGGCAUCUUAUGUGUUAGAAAAACCACAAUUGUUUUGCAAACAGCUAAACAUCCUAGUUUACCUCUGAGUGAAGGGGGCUUAUCUUUAAAAUUAUAUGUCAACAAGUAAUUAUUACAUAUAGCAGUUUUUAGGCAAAAUUAUUGGAAUAAUUCAAAACCCCUGAAGAGGUAUUAUUAGAUAUAUAUUAUUAGAUAUAAGCCAAUAUAUACAUUACUUAUGAAUUACAUUCUAUGUAGCUAUCAGUUGGCAACCAGCAUUGGCAAGUACAUUUCAAAUGAUGACAGUUUUGGCCAGAGUUAUGUCGAGGCUGUGAAACCACUCACCCAAGGAUUUUUAGGGUGAGGAAGGCCCCAGGUGACUAUCUGGCCAAAAAUUUGCCAUCCCUAUAUGACAUCAUGUUUUUACUUGACUCAUUUUUUUGCAAUGCACAUAUCUGAGCGUAACCACAAGGUUGAUGGUGAAAGCUCUGGCUCCCCGAAGGAAAAAGUAACAAUUUUUUGAGCAUGGGUGAUAAUUCUAGUCUGAGAAAAACUAGAAAAUGAACAGACUUUAAGCUGAGCUGGUCCUCUCUGACAAAGUGCUUACCUAUCUCCAUAAAUCA
Molecule: long non-coding RNA, 9981 nt
Organism: Acinonyx jubatus (cheetah)
Lineage: Eukaryota; Metazoa; Chordata; Mammalia; Carnivora; Felidae
Exons: 3
Source: RefSeq, a predicted model, not a curated record